This 462-nucleotide ribosomal RNA is filed under the name uncultured bacterium. Its description in RNAcentral is "bacterial SSU rRNA". It matches the Rfam family "Bacterial small subunit ribosomal RNA", at positions 331 to 792 of the family's 1533-position model. The record is from RNAcentral.
CCAGACUCCUACGGGAGGCAGCAGUGGGGAAUAUUGCACAAUGGGGGAAACCCUGAUGCAGCGACGCCGCGUGAGUGAAGAAGUAUUUCGGUAUGUAAAGCUCUAUCAGCAGGGAAGAAAUAGCGACCUUUGGGUCGCCAGACGGUACCUGAUUAAGAAGCCCCGGCUAACUACGUGCCAGCAGCCGCGGUAAUACGUAGGGGGCAAGCGUUAUCCGGAUUUACUGGGUGUAAAGGGAGCGUAGACGGCAGCACAAGUCUGGAGUGAAAUCCCGGGGCUUAACCCCGGAACUGCUUUGGAAACUGUGCGGCUGGAGUGCAGGAGGGGUAAGCGGAAUUCCUAGUGUAGCGGUGAAAUGCGUAGAUAUUAGGAGGAACACCGGUGGCGAAGGCGGCUUACUGGACUGUAACUGACGUUGAGGCUCGAAAGCGUGGGGAGCAAACAGGAUUAGAUACCCUAGUA